AUACAUGCAGUCGAGCGGACUGCUUAAAAGCUUGCUUUUAUGAAGUCAGCGGCGGACGGGUGAGUAACACGUGGGCAACCUGCCUGUAAGACUGGGAUAACUUCGGGAAACCGGAGCUAAUACCGGAUAAUACUAGGAACCUCCUGGUUCCUUGUUGAAAGAUGGUUUCGGCUAUCACUUACAGAUGGGCCCGCGGCGCAUUAGCUAGUUGGUGAGGUAACGGCUCACCAAGGCGACGAUGCGUAGCCGACCUGAGAGGGUGAUCGGCCACACUGGGACUGAGACACGGCCCAGACUCCUACGGGAGGCAGCAGUAGGGAAUCUUCCACAAUGGACGAAAGUCUGAUGGAGCAACGCCGCGUGAGCGAUGAAGGCCUUCGGGUCGUAAAGCUCUGUUGUUAGGGAAGAACAAGUGCGAGAGUAACUGCUCGCACCUUGACGGUACCUAACCAGAAAGCCACGGCUAACUACGUGCCAGCAGCCGCGGUAAUACGUAGGUGGCAAGCGUUGUCCGGAAUUAUUGGGCGUAAAGCGCGCGCAGGCGGUUUCUUAAGUCUGAUGUGAAAGCCCACGGCUCAACCGUGGAGGGUCAUUGGAAACUGGGGAACUUGAGUGCAGAAGAGGAGAGU
Molecule: ribosomal RNA, 629 nt
Filed under: Bacillus sp. (in: firmicutes)
Lineage: Bacteria; Bacillati; Bacillota; Bacilli; Caryophanales; Bacillaceae
Description: bacterial SSU rRNA
Rfam family: Bacterial small subunit ribosomal RNA
Source: RNAcentral